GAUGAUGGCUCUGAUUGAACGCUAUCCAAGUGCUUGACACAUGCUAAUCGUACGACAUCAUAUUAAAAAUGAUGUAGUGGUGUACAGGUGAGUAAAUAAUAUUUUGGCUACCUUAAAGAAAGGUUAAAUUCCUUAUAUGAGAAAGAAACUAAGGUUUCGCUUUAAGAUGUUAAUAAAUAUUUUCGGUGAAUAUAUAGUAGUAGAAAAGGUAAUAUCUUAACUAGCUAUAAGCCGUAGUCGUGACUGAGAGGUCGAUCGACCACAUUGGGUCUGAAAAAACCCCAAUGCGUAUUAGUACAGCAGUGAGGAAUAUUGGUCAAUGGCCUAACGGCUGAACCAGCAACUUGGAGGAAUA
Molecule: ribosomal RNA, 355 nt
Filed under: Histoplasma capsulatum var. duboisii
Lineage: Eukaryota; Fungi; Ascomycota; Eurotiomycetes; Onygenales; Ajellomycetaceae
Description: SSU rRNA
Rfam family: Bacterial small subunit ribosomal RNA
Source: RNAcentral